Molecule: ribosomal RNA, 468 nt
Filed under: uncultured bacterium
Lineage: Bacteria
Description: partial 16S ribosomal RNA
Rfam family: Bacterial small subunit ribosomal RNA
Source: RNAcentral
GACGAACGCUGGCGGCGUGCUUAACACAUGCAAGUAGAACGGAAAGGCACUGCCUUUGUGGGGUGCAUGAGUGGCGAACGGGUGAGUAACGCGUGAGUAACCUGCCUUUGACUUUGGGAUAACUACAGGAAACUGGGGCUAAUACCGGAUAGGAGCACAUGCUGCAUGGUGGGGGCUGGAAAGGUUCGUUGGCUGGGGAAGUACUUGCGGCUUAUCAGCUUGAUGGUGGGGUAGUGGUUUACCAAGGCGAUGACGGUUAGCCGGCCUGAGAGGGUGACCGGCCACAUUGGGACUGGGAAGCCACCCAGACGCCUUCGGGAGGCAUCAGUGGAGGAUAGUGCACGAUAGGCCGAAUCCGUAUGCAGCAUCUCCGCGUGCGAGAUGACUGCCGUCAGGGUGUAAACCGCGUGCGCCUGUAACGUAGAGUGUGUGACGGUAAUUUGUAAGGAAGCGCCGGCUAACUACGUG